GAUGAACGCUGGCGGCGUGCCUAAUACAUGCAAGUCGAGCGAACGGACGAGAAGCUUGCUUCUCUGAUGUUAGCGGCGGACGGGUGAGUAACACGUGGAUAACCUACCUAUAAGACUGGGAUAACUUCGGGAAACCGGAGCUAAUACCGGAUAAUAUUUUGAACCGCAUGGUUCAAAAGUGAAAGACGGUCUUGCUGUCACUUAUAGAUGGAUCCGCGCUGCAUUAGCUAGUUGGUAAGGUAACGGCUUACCAAGGCAACGAUGCAUAGCCGACCUGAGAGGGUGAUCGGCAACACUGGAACUGAGACACGGUCCAGACUCCUACGGGAGGCAGCAGUAGGGAAUCUUCCGCAAUGGGCGAAAGCCUCACGGAGCAACGCCGCGUGAGUGAUGAAGGUCUUCGGAUCGUAAAACUCUGUUAUUAGGGAAGAACAUAUGUGUAAGUAACUGUGCACAUCUUGACGGUACCUAAUCAGAAAGCCACGGCUAACUACGUG
Molecule: ribosomal RNA, 497 nt
Filed under: uncultured bacterium
Lineage: Bacteria
Description: partial 16S ribosomal RNA
Rfam family: Bacterial small subunit ribosomal RNA
Source: RNAcentral